RNAcentral lists this ribosomal RNA (253 nucleotides) under uncultured bacterium. RNAcentral describes it as "partial 16S ribosomal RNA". It matches the Rfam family "Bacterial small subunit ribosomal RNA", at positions 524 to 776 of the family's 1533-position model. The record is from RNAcentral.
UACGUAGGGAGCAAGCGUUGUUCGGAUUUACUGGGCGUAAAGGGCGCGUAGGCGGCCUGACAGGUCACUUGUGAAAUCUCCGAGCUUAACUCGGAACGGUCAAGUGAAACCAAUAGGCUAGAGUGCAGAAGGGGCAAUCGGAAUUCUUGGUGUAGCGGUGAAAUGCGUAGAUAUCAAGAGGAACACCUGAGGUGAAGACGGGUUGCUGGGCUGACACUGACGCUGAGGCGCGAAAGCCAGGGGAGCAAACGGG